This 562-nucleotide ribosomal RNA is filed under the name uncultured bacterium. RNAcentral describes it as "bacterial SSU rRNA". It matches the Rfam family "Bacterial small subunit ribosomal RNA", at positions 338 to 918 of the family's 1533-position model. The record is from RNAcentral.
CCUACGGGAGGCAGCAGUGGGGAAUCUUGGACAAUGGGCGCAAGCCUGAUCCAGCCAUGCCGCGUGAGUGAUGAAGGCCUUAGGGUCGUAAAGCUCUUUCGCCUGUGAUGAUAAUGACAGUAGCAGGUAAAGAAACCCCGGCUAACUCCGUGCCAGCAGCCGCGGUAAUACGGAGGGGGUUAGCGUUGUUCGGAAUUACUGGGCGUAAAGCGCGCGUAGGCGGAUUAGUCAGUUAGAGGUGAAAUCCCAGGGCUCAACCCUGGAACUGCCUUUAAUACUGCUAGUCUUGAGUUCGAGAGAGGUGAGUGGAAUUCCGAGUGUAGAGGUGAAAUUCGUAGAUAUUCGGAGGAACACCAGUGGCGAAGGCGGCUCACUGGCUCGAUACUGACGCUGAGGUGCGAAAGUGUGGGGAGCAAACAGGAUUAGAUACCCUGGUAGUCCACACCGUAAACGAUGAAUGCCAGUCGUCGGGUAGCAUGCUAUUCGGUGACACACCUAACGGAUUAAGCAUUCCGCCUGGGGAGUACGGUCGCAAGAUUAAAACUCAAAGGAAUUGACGGGG